This 856-nucleotide long non-coding RNA is filed under the name Setaria viridis. Its description in RNAcentral is "long non-coding RNA (SVIR_LNC008640)". The record is from RNAcentral. Lineage: Eukaryota; Viridiplantae; Streptophyta; Magnoliopsida; Poales; Poaceae.
CAGAUAGAUUCAGAUUUCAGGAUGUUACAACUCAGUCCCUAACCCUCAGAAACAAGCCCUGCACCCUAUUUCGAGCCUCUGGGGGUUCCAGCCUUAGGUCACCUAAGUUGCACCCCCAACAGUAGCCCUUCAACUGUUCAGUCUUGACCAGCACAACAAGACCUAAUAGUUGCUAAUGUUAAAAGAGAUCGGCAACUCAUACUCUAGAUGUAUGCCUUUGGGUGCCUUGAAUGAUGAGCUUUAAAUCGGUAGAAAACUUCACUCUUGAGCCUCGAUCAGUAGGCCUUGCUUUGAUAGCCGAUGUAGUCGUGAUUGAAGGUAGUUGUAACAUCUUCAAGCUUUCUCUUACGAGCACCGAACAAAGGAUGGACUGUUCAACCCUAGCCCUUGUUGGCCGGUGUUCAUGAGAGAAGCUUCGUCUGUAGUGGAAGUAGUCGAAGUAGUAGAUGUAGUAGUGGUGGCUGAGGCUGAAUCGUACGUGAAGUUAGUGAUGACUUCGAAGCUGACAGCGCUCCCCUCUAGGCAAUGUAGGGAUGUCAAGGUAGAUGAUGAUGCCGAGGGUAACGGUGAUACCGAGGGUGAGCCCCUCGUACCCAUGUCAAGGGUGAACCUCUAGAGCCGACGUAGCCGAAGACGUGAAGUCGAGGAUGACAUCGAGGUUGAUCCCUCGAGCUGAUGUGCUAGACGACACGAAGUCGCGGAUGAUGCUGAAGUUGAGCCCCUUGGGACGAUUACCAUAAAAAAAAUCGAAGUUGGUAUGCAGGAUUGUUAGCACCACCAGUGUCAUCUUAUCACCUUCGAUGGUGACAUCACCUUUGCCUGAGAUCCCAGCGUUGAUUUGUGCUCUCCGGAAUGU